UAUAUGGCUUGUAAUGUAGGAUAAUGGAAAGAAAAUCGGGAUACAACUGUUAUGUAUACAUUAUGGAGUGAAAUUGCCAGCUUCAGGCAACGCAUAGCUAUUAAACCUCCUUGCCAAAAGCAUUAGCUGUGUAGAGGGUUUCAAGAACGCUUUUGAAAACAGCGAAUGCAAAAAAAAAGAAACUUAUUUUGAAAGAGGAGUACUAAAGUACCCCAAACUGUAAUGCAAUCACUUAGUUAACAGGAGGACUUGUUGAUGCUUGAGUAGGAAACAAGGAUAUCUAUGACAUGCUCCAUUGUACAUGUCAGAUGCUAUGCAGUGCAGUUACCAGUCUUGCACUGACCAGAAAUUUUACUAUGCCAUCUAGAAAACAGAAUGAGAGGAUUCACAUCCUUCAACAGUUGACCGACGCUUCUUCACUGUCACUUCUGGAAACAAAGGAACAAACUGUAAAGAAGCAUAUCCAAAUGCAAAAUUUAUACUCAGACAAGGAUUGGCUGGGCUACUAACAAAUACAGUAGCUGAGAAUGACAAAUACAGGAACUGAGAAAUGGUGACACACUGCCACUAAAAAUAUACAAUAACAAAAACAAAUCUGUUGUCUGCAAGUUUACAUGUGGAUCUUGUGUUAUGAAAAACUCCAAAGAACCAAAUGACACAAAUCUGAAAUGGUUGUUGGUCAACUGGAACUGAUUCUUUAAUUACUAAUGGACUGUACCACAAUCAAGACUACUGACAUUUGUACUAGUAUCACUCUGUUUCAUCCGAGUGAUUAAAGAACCAAUUAGAUGAGGUUCCCAAAAGUUGUUAACAACUUAUCUGUUUGAGAGGUGUGAGGAUCACGUAAAUCUGUGUCAACUGCGCAACAAUUUGUUAGAUGGUCCCUACAGCACUCUGUUUACUACACCUAUAUAGAUGCAGUAGAGAGAGUGAUCUACAGAGCGGAACAAUGUUUUGGACAGAUUGAAAUGUAGUGUAGUCUGAGGUCUAGUUUGUGUUGGAAGGUGACAGUGAAGCCAACAAAUGUGUCAUGAGAAACUCUUGUACACUCUUAAAUUUUUGUAUGUGUUCAAAAGAGCUAUUCUCCCACUGUGGUCUGAUAUUUUCAAAUUUUUAGUGUCUGAAGGUGUUAAUAACAACAACAUUCCCAGCUAAAAAAACACUAUCCCUCGGAAGGUCCUGUUAGUAUGUCAUAAUUUAUUUUGCUAGUGUUCAUGUGCUGUUAGUGGUGACAAUCCUUGGUCAUUUCUUAAGGCUUGUAUCUUCACUAUGUUAAUGAUGCCAUAUGUCUAUCAGUGUGGUACCAUGUAUUUAAUUAAUGUCACAAAAUCAAUAAUUCACUUCUGGAACUUUUCUCUUUGUAUAAUAAUUACAUAUCACAAUUCUACUAACAGACACAAACUCCGUCUUCCACUAUGUACUGAGUGCUUCCUGCAAACACUCAUUUGCUCUUGUGCUUCUGCAACUUCCCCUUCUCCACUUUCUUUGCACACUAUAAUUAUUUCUUCAAACCUUUACAAAAUGUUAACAGUUCUAGAAAAAAAAAGUUUGUGGAAUAUUGUCUUUGCAUUAUAUACAUAUGGUGGAACACAAUGGUAAUUUUAGUUCAGUUCUCUGUUUCUUAUAUUCACUGUAAAGAACAACAAAUAAAUAAUACAACAGUUUCCAAAUCAAUUACCCAUAAAACACAGAAAGAAAGAUAAGCAACAGGAGAAGUCACACAGUAACAAUUAAUCAAUGAAGACAAUGAACAUUCAGCUCUUGUCAAAGCAGCAAGAACAGAAAAUAAAAUAAAAGAUGUCUGCAAUCACAUUAAUUCAUUUCCUACCAUGACAGUGGCAGUAAAAGUAAG
Molecule: long non-coding RNA, 1852 nt
Organism: Schistocerca gregaria
Lineage: Eukaryota; Metazoa; Arthropoda; Insecta; Orthoptera; Acrididae
Exons: 6
Source: RefSeq, a predicted model, not a curated record